RNAcentral lists this ribosomal RNA (502 nucleotides) under uncultured bacterium. RNAcentral's name for it is "partial 16S ribosomal RNA". It matches the Rfam family "Bacterial small subunit ribosomal RNA", at positions 30 to 523 of the family's 1533-position model. The record is from RNAcentral.
AUUGAACGCUGGCGGCAUGCUUUACACAUGCAAGUCGAACGGCAGCACGGGUGCUUGCACCUGGUGGCGAGUGGCGAACGGGUGAGUAAUGCACCGGAACGUACCCAGUAAUGGGGGAUAACACAUCGAAAGAUGUGCUAAUACCGCAUACGCCCUGAGGGGGAAAGCGGGGGAUCGUAAGACCUCGCGUUAUUGGAGCGGCCGAUGCCGGAUUAGCUAGUUGGUGAGGUAAAGGCUCACCAAGGCGACGAUCCGUAGCUGGUCUGAGAGGACGACCAGCCACACUGGGACUGAGACACGGCCCAGACUCCUACGGGAGGCAGCAGUGGGGAAUUUUGGACAAUGGGCGCAAGCCUGAUCCAGCCAUGCCGCGUGAGUGAAGAAGGCCUUCGGGUUGUAAAGCUCUUUCGCAAGGAAAGAAAACUUACCUUCUAAUAAAGGGUGAGGUUGACGGUACCUAGAUAAGAAGCACCGGCUAACUACGUGCCAGCCGCCGCGGUAA